UUGGUACUACAACCGCACCUCCUGUAGGUUAUUUAUAGAUCGUCCCCAAACCUUCCAUUCCCAUUCUCAGAUUUACAUUCUUCAAUUAUUCCCCGCUAUUCAAAAUACAUCCAACUUUACGAGCCAGUGGAGUAGUUCGAUUUCAUCAACAAUCCAUUGGAGGAGCCGUACCAACAACCGAUUGGUAAACCCUUACCUAUUUUCUCAUCUUCUCCGUUCAAUCUCCGGUUGGUUUCCGUUAUAAUACAAAUCACCAAACAAACAAACAAACCCUUCCUUUCAUCUCUCCAGCGACAAAUAAACCAACAUGGGCAGUUCCAUAUGAAGCCGCGUUGGAAGAUGAAAUUGCAGAGAGAACAUCUAAUUGUUGAAGUUUCAUCUCAUCUCACCUCUAUAGAUAUAAUCAUUGCCAAUUUCUUUUCAAGGACACCACCGCCUCCCAACUGUGAGAUCGAACAAAGUUAAGGUUACAUCUACAACAGUAUCACCUAGCCCUUGAAUUCAAGAUGGGAUUUUAUGGUCAUCAAAGGAGGUACCGUGCAUAGAAGAAUUCCCCUUGUCUGUAGCCAACCCAUGUGGACGAACCAAGAAUCGCCGUUGACAGGGUUCUGCACUCAAAAGUAUUCUCAACCAAAGAUGGAACAUGGGUACGUGAUUACAUAUAUGUUGCAGAUUUUAGCUAAUGGGCAUGCAUUUAAAAAAAGGGUAAUUGAACGGUACCCCCGAUCGCGGGAGGGUUCUCCCUCCCGAGCACGAUAGCCCCAUACCUAACUGGCGGUGAAUCCCCAGCCAUCGAGUGGACCAUAGGUUUUUUGGUAAUCGACCGGAGUAGAACCCGGGUCCCCACGAUUUGUGUGGGUGAGGCUGGCUACUGGGCUGACACCCAGUGGUUAUAUGGCUACAUUUAGAAAACUCACAGUCCUGAAAUAGAUAUGUAUUCUUUUGUCAUGUUUGAUUAUUUCAUAUAUAUUAUAUUAAUAUUUACUAGACACAAUUACAAAUAAUCACAACUAUGUGGCAAAUUGUAGUUAAUUAAAUGAUAUGCAUGUCAUUAUUUUGGAUUUUGCUGCCAUGAGGAUAAAAAAUAAGAAGAAUCUACUUCUAUCUUAUUUACGAUAUUUUUAAUAUAAAAUUUUAAAUGGGCCAAACAUUGGAGCAACUGUAAGGUUAUUAGUAUGAGACCUGGAGGUCAUGGGCUUGACUCAUGGAAAGUGCAAAAUUUUUGAUUUCUCGUCGAAAAUUUUAAAGGAUCCCUCAAUUAUUGUCUAAAUAUUUAUACAAUAUAUAAAUUGGGUCCCAUGACUUUCUGCCCCCCGAAACUGUUGGUCAAGCUCCGCCACUGAUUAUAAAGUAGUUUUAGAUACAGUGAUUGACUCAGAUGGAUGGCCAAGAAGUAAGAACCGGUGAUCUUUGUUACUUUGACAAUGAAGGAUUCCUGUUCGUUAUGGAUCGGUUGAAAGAGCUGAUCAAGUAUAAAGGUUACUAGGUACCACCAGCCGAAUUGGAACACAUUUAUACAACCGCAUCAAUCUGCAGUGAUUCCGUAUGCAUUUCACCUUUUAAUCAGAAGUCGCAAUUUCAUCUUAAUUCAGAUUUAAACAUGUACAUGGGUUAAAUUGUUACACGGGUGAUGGAUAGGCCAAUCACUAUAUAGCCAAAUAUGUGGAUCGAGUUUAAUAUAGAGUUUCUUGAAUAUCUUUUUUCGACAAUAAUCCCUUAAUCCCUCUUUUGUAUAUAGUUUUUUCUAUUCUUUGAUUGUAUUUAAAUGUUUCAAUGUUGGGUAUAAAAUUUCGUUGUGUUUUUAUUCUUUUAUAUUUAAAUAAAGAUGGUUAUGAAAUUAAACUUCCCGACUAGCGGACGGGUAUAAAACUAAAAAGUUAUAUGAAAAGGGUCAAGUUAAAUGAGCUGUGCUUUUAUCUUAAACAUAAACUAUUUUGGUUUAGAAUCCAAAGAAAGAUAAUUUUGCCAUUAAUACAUUAAAAUACCCGUCUAUCGGAUUAUGACAUUUCUCAGUCUCCCCUAAGAAACGAUCCCAAAGAUACACCAAAUUUGUCAGAUGCGGACCAGACGACAACUCAGCAAGAAGAAAAUAUGUCAUCGGUGGUUGAUAAUUUGGAACAUGAGGUCGACGCUGACAUUUCUAAAUGUUACCAGGUAGAUGAUGCUAGAUGUACACUAAAUUCAUCAGAUGUCCACAAUCCAACAAGUCAGCAAGAAUUUGUAUUUGUUUUUACAUGUUGCCUCAGUAGACGUAGACGAUGUAAAAAAUACACCAAAUUUGACAAAUGGGCACCAUGCAUCAACUCAACAAGUCGAAAAGAGGCUAUCUUUGAGGUUGAAGAGGACGAUCCAAAAGCCGAAAAAAUUGAGGCAAUAAACCACGUUUGAUUGUUUAUAACACUUUCCCUCAGUGCUGCCUACCAUUUACUUUUGCAUUAAAAUGACAGUAUUUCAUGUUUUAUCUCUCUAUCAGUUUUAUUUUAUACUGUUUGUGGUUGUACACUGUUCACGUAGGUUUUCCUUUUAUAAAUUAAA
Molecule: long non-coding RNA, 2535 nt
Filed under: Helianthus annuus (common sunflower)
Lineage: Eukaryota; Viridiplantae; Streptophyta; Magnoliopsida; Asterales; Asteraceae
Source: RNAcentral